RNAcentral lists this unclassified non-coding RNA (266 nucleotides) under uncultured fungus. RNAcentral's name for it is "partial contains small subunit ribosomal RNA, internal transcribed spacer 1, and 5.8S ribosomal RNA". The stretch from base 1 to 73 matches the Rfam family "Eukaryotic small subunit ribosomal RNA", at positions 1759 to 1831 of the family's 1831-position model. The record is from RNAcentral. Lineage: Eukaryota; Fungi.
CCAAACUUGGUCAUUUAGAGGAAGUAAAAGUCGUAACAAGGUUUCCGUAGGUGAACCUGCGGAAGGAUCAUUAUCGAUUCCGUUCGGCUGUGCGCCUUUUGGGGCUGCACGUCGGAUGCCCACUUACACACACCUGUGCACCUCGAGCGUGGCAACACGUUCGCCUUUUCACAUACAACUACAAACCCGAAUGUCUUUGACGUUAAUAAACGAACACAACUUUCAACAACGGAUCUCUUGGCUCUCGCAUCGAUGAAGAACGCAGC